AUCCAGCUGAAGAGCCUCAAAUAGGACCAAACACACGUCCUGGAU
Non-coding RNA from Schistosoma margrebowiei, 45 nucleotides. NCBI's taxonomy places the organism in Eukaryota, Metazoa, Platyhelminthes, Trematoda, Strigeidida, Schistosomatidae. The record is from Rfam.